RNAcentral lists this long non-coding RNA (491 nucleotides) under Ananas comosus (pineapple). RNAcentral describes it as "long non-coding RNA (ACOM_LNC032474)". Lineage: Eukaryota; Viridiplantae; Streptophyta; Magnoliopsida; Poales; Bromeliaceae. The record is from RNAcentral.
UGUGUGUGUGUGUGUGUGUGUGUGUGUGUGUGUGUGUGUGUGAAAUGAUUGAUUUGUGUGUGUGUUGUAUAUAUAUGAAAUGAUUGAUUUGUUUUCUGCUAAUCAUUGCACUUGCAUUGCGAAAUUGUGAGAAAAUCUAGUCUUUGUUUCCAGAGACAUGGAAGUGACGAAAUUUCUUGAUCUAAAUUUGUGUAAUAUUUCUUUGAGUCAGAAAUAUACAUAAUUUGUAUCUCUGGCAACUUCCGAACUUUAGUUUUGUGUUGACGAUUUGAAUAUUUUGAAUAGAAAAUAUCGAGGGUUUUGAAAAUACUACAUACCGUGAAACAAACAACGGAUUAAAGGGUUUAGAGUGUGAAAAAAUUGAGGAUAGUAGUUGAACUAUUCAUUUACACAUAAAAGGAUAGUAGUUGAACUAUGGAGAGAUAUAGUUUGCUGGAUUUUUUUGCCGAACAAAUUUCAUAGACAUAGAAAAUGUGUAAUCUCUAGCAUUU